CAUGCAAGUCGAGGGGCAGCAUGAUUGAAGCUUGCUUCAAUUGAUGGCGACCGGCGCACGGGUGAGUAACGCGUAUCCAACCUUCCGUACACUCAGGGAUAGCCUUUCGAAAGAAAGAUUAAUACCCGAUGGUAUGAUGAGAUUGCAUGAUAGCAUCAUUAAAGAUUUAUCGGUGUACGAUGGGGAUGCGUUCCAUUAGGUAGUAGGCGGGGUAACGGCCCACCUAGCCGACGAUGGAUAGGGGUUCUGAGAGGAAGGUCCCCCACAUUGGAACUGAGACACGGUCCAAACUCCUACGGGAGGCAGCAGUGAGGAAUAUUGGUCAAUGGACGAGAGUCUGAACCAGCCAAGUAGCGUGAAGGAUGAAGGUCCUACGGAUUGUAAACUUCUUUUAUAAGGGAAUAAAACCUCCCACGUGUGGGAGCUUGUAUGUACCUUAUGAAUAAGCAUCGGCUAACUCCGUGCCAGCAGCCGCGGUAAUACGGAGGAUGCGAGCGUUAUCCGGAUUUAUUGGGUUUAAAGGGAGCGCAGACGGGUCGUUAAGUCAGCUGUGAAAGUUUGGGGCUCAACCUUAAAAUUGCAGUUGAUACUGGCGUCCUUGAGUGCGGUUGAGGUGUGCGGAAUUCGUGGUGUAGCGGUGAAAUGCUUAGAUAUCACGAAGAACUCCGAUUGCGAAGGCAGCACACUAAGCCGUAACUGACGUUCAUGCUCGAAAGUGUGGGUAUCAAACAGGAUUAGAUACCCUGGUAGUCCACACGGUAAACGAUGGAUACUCGCUGUUGGCGAUAUACAGUCAGCGGCUUAGCGAAAGCGUUAAGUAUCCCACCUGGGGAGUACGCCGGCAACGGUGAAACUCAAAGGAAUUGACGGGGGCCCGCACAAGCGGAGGAACAUGUGGUUUAAUUCGAUGAUACGCGAGGAACCUUACCCGGGCUUAA
This 938-nucleotide ribosomal RNA is filed under the name uncultured bacterium. Its description in RNAcentral is "bacterial SSU rRNA". It matches the Rfam family "Bacterial small subunit ribosomal RNA", at positions 54 to 984 of the family's 1533-position model. The record is from RNAcentral.